UGCAGUUAAAAAGCUCGUAGUUGAAUUUCGGGAUCAAAUUGUUGGUCGUGCCUCGGUACGCACUGGCAUUAUCGGUUCCUACCUUCUGAAGAACCGCGAUGUCAUUAAUUUGGUGUCGUGGGGAAUCAGGACUGUUACUUUGAAAAAAUUAGAGUGUUUAAAGCAGGCUUACGCUUGAAUACAUUAGCAUGGAAUAAUGAAAUAGGACGUUUGAUUCUAUUUUGUUGGUUUCUAGGAUCGACGUAAUGAUUAAUAGGGAUAGUUGGGGGCAUUAGUAUUCAAUUGUCAGAGGUGAAAUUCUUGGAUUUAUUGAAGACUAACUACUGCGAAAGCAUUUGCCAAGGAUGUUUUCAUUAAUCAAGAACGAAAGUUAGGGGAUCGAAGACGAUCAGAUACCGUCGUAGUCUUAACCAUAAACUAUGCCGACUAGGGAUCGGAUGAUGUUAAUUUUUUA
RNAcentral lists this ribosomal RNA (454 nucleotides) under uncultured Glomus. RNAcentral's name for it is "SSU rRNA". It matches the Rfam family "Eukaryotic small subunit ribosomal RNA", at positions 614 to 1073 of the family's 1831-position model. Lineage: Eukaryota; Fungi; Glomeromycota; Glomeromycetes; Glomerales; Glomeraceae. The record is from RNAcentral.